Molecule: long non-coding RNA, 395 nt
Filed under: Marmota monax (woodchuck)
Lineage: Eukaryota; Metazoa; Chordata; Mammalia; Rodentia; Sciuridae
Source: RNAcentral
UUCGUUUUUCAAAUUUUAACAGUGUUUACACAUUCUUUUGCAUUCUCUUGUCUGGAAAUAAUGCCAAUGUACCUUGUUUUUAAUCCAAAUAAAAUUCACAUUUUUCUUUUCUUGUCACAAUAGCCAGCGUUUUUAGUACAAUGUUGAAUAAAAGUAAAGAUGGUAUAUAUCCUUCCUUCAUUCUUUAGCUGAGAGAGGCUUUUCAACAUUAAGUAUGACUUGUGAUGUUUGUUCAAUUCAUUCAUUCAUUCAUUCAUUGUAAAUGCUCUUUACCAGAUUAAAGGAAUCCCCCACUCUCCUAGUUUGCUCAAAACUUUUAAUGUAAAUAAAUUUGAGUGUUUCCAAAUGUUUGUAGAAUAUCUAGUUUGAAGAUUAUAUUAUUUUUUCUUUUGUUA